GAGUUUGAUCCUGGCUCAGGAUAAACGCUGGCGGCGCACAUAAGACAUGCAAGUCGAACGGACUUAAUUCAUUCUUUUAGAUUGGAAGCGGUUAGUGGCGGACUGGUGAGUAACGCGUGAGCAACCUGCCUAUUAGAGGGGAAUAACAGUGAGAAAUCAUUGCUAAUACCGCAUAUGCUUACACUAUUGCAUGAUAGAGUAAGGAAAGGAGCAAUCCGCUAAUAGAUGGGCUCGCGUCUGAUUAGCUAGUUGGUGGGGUAGAAGCCUACCAAGGCGACGAUCAGUAGCCGGACUGAGAGGUUGAACGGCCACAUUGGGACUGAGAUACGGCCCAGACUCCUACGGGAGGCAGCAGUCGGGAAUAUUGCGCAAUGGAGGGAACUCUGACGCAGUGACGCCGCGUAUAGGAAGAAGGUUUUCGGAUUGUAAACUAUUGUCGUUAGGGAAGAAAAAAGACAGUACCUAAGGAGGAAGCCCCGGCUAACUAUGUGCCAGCAGCCGCGGUAAUACAUAGGGGGCAAGCGUUAUCCGGAAUUAUUGGGUGUAAAGGGUGCGUAGACGGGUGUUUAAGUUGGUUGUGAAAUCCCUCGGCUCAACUGAGGAACUGCAACCAAAACUGGAUAUCUUGAGUGUCGGAGAGGAAAGUGGAAUUCCUAGUGUAGCGGUGAAAUGCGUAGAUAUUAG
RNAcentral lists this ribosomal RNA (684 nucleotides) under uncultured bacterium. RNAcentral describes it as "bacterial SSU rRNA". It matches the Rfam family "Bacterial small subunit ribosomal RNA", at positions 9 to 700 of the family's 1533-position model. The record is from RNAcentral.